GGGAGUACGGUCGCAAGAUUAAAAUUCAAAUGAAUUGACGGGGGCCCGCACAAGCGGUGGAGCAUGUGGUUUAAUUCGAUGCAACGCGAAGAACCUUACCUACUCUUGACAUCCAGAGAACUUUCCAGAGAUGGAUUGGUGCCUUCGGGAACUCUGAGACAGGUGCUGCAUGGCUGUCGUCAGCUCGUGUUGUGAAAUGUUGGGUUAAGUCCCGCAACGAGCGCAACCCUUAUCCUUGUUUGCCAGCGAGUAAUGUCGGGAACUCCAGGGAGACUGCCGGUGAUAAACCGGAGGAAGGUGGGGACGACGUCAAGUCAUCAUGGCCCUUACGAGUAGGGCUACACACGUGCUACAAUGGCGCAUACAGAGGGCGGCCAACUUGUGAAAGUGAGCGAAUCCCAAAAAGUGCGUCGUAGUCCGGAUUGGAGUCUGCAACUCGACUCCAUGAAGUCGGAAUCGCUAGUAAUCGUGGAUCAGAAUGCCACGGUGAAUACGUUCCCGGGCCUUGUACACACCGCCCGUCACACCAUGGGAGUGGGCUGCAAAAGAAGUAGGUAGUUAAC
RNAcentral lists this ribosomal RNA (563 nucleotides) under Vibrio sp. Its description in RNAcentral is "bacterial SSU rRNA". It matches the Rfam family "Bacterial small subunit ribosomal RNA", at positions 876 to 1439 of the family's 1533-position model. The record is from RNAcentral. Lineage: Bacteria; Pseudomonadati; Pseudomonadota; Gammaproteobacteria; Vibrionales; Vibrionaceae.